Molecule: ribosomal RNA, 460 nt
Filed under: uncultured bacterium
Lineage: Bacteria
Description: partial 16S ribosomal RNA
Rfam family: Bacterial small subunit ribosomal RNA
Source: RNAcentral
CCUACGGGUGGCAGCAGUGAGGAAUAUUGGUCAAUGGACGCAAGCCUGAACCAGCCAUGCAGCGUGCAGGAAGACGGCUCUAUGAGUUGUAAACUGCUUUUGUACGAGGGUAAACGCAGAUACGCGUAUCUGUCUGAAAGUAUCGUACGAAUAAGGAUCGGCUAACUCCGUGCCAGCAGCCGCGGUAAUACGGAGGAUUCAAGCGUUAUCCGGAUUUAUUGGGUUUAAAGGGUGCGUAGGCGGUCGGUUAAGUUAGAGGUGAAAGCCCGAGGCUCAACUUCGGAAUUGCAUCUGAUACUGUUCGGCUAGAGCGUAGUUGCGGUAGGCGGAAUGUGUGGUGUAGCGGUGAAAUGCUUAGAGAUCAUGCAGAACACCGAUUGCGAAGGCAGCUUACCAAGCUACUUCUGACGUUGAGGCACGAAAGCGUGGGGAGCAAACAGGAUUAGAUACCCUUGUAGUC